RNAcentral lists this long non-coding RNA (212 nucleotides) under Populus tremula. RNAcentral's name for it is "long non-coding RNA (PTRE_LNC001744)". Lineage: Eukaryota; Viridiplantae; Streptophyta; Magnoliopsida; Malpighiales; Salicaceae. The record is from RNAcentral.
CAUGAAAUGAGAUUGCUUUCAUCGAUAAUACAAAAAAGAUUUGAAAGGAUUUUAUUUUGAAAAUAAAAAUCCUGGAAAUCUUGUUAGAAACUCACAUAGCAUCACACCCCGUACUGCCCUUACUCUAAACAAAUGAAUGACCACUUCAAUUUUUCUUACCCGCGAGCCACUAAGCGUGCGCUCUAGCAUAAUAGAAGCAACUGGCUGACGGC